UACGGGAGGCAGCAGUAGGGAAUCUUCGGCAAUGGGGGGAACCCUGACCGAGCAACGCCGCGUGAGUGAAGAAGGUUUUCGGAUCGUAAAGCUCUGUUGUAAGAGAAGAACGGGUGUGAGAGUGGAAAGUUCACACUGUGACGGUAUCUUACCAGAAAGGGACGGCUAACUACGUGCCAGCAGCCGCGGUAAU
RNAcentral lists this ribosomal RNA (193 nucleotides) under uncultured bacterium. RNAcentral's name for it is "partial 16S ribosomal RNA". It matches the Rfam family "Bacterial small subunit ribosomal RNA", at positions 340 to 524 of the family's 1533-position model. The record is from RNAcentral.